GAGUUUGAUCUUGGCUCAGAACGAACGCUGGCGGCGUGGAUAAGACAUGCAAGUCGAACGGGACAUUUUUUGUAGCAAUACAGAAGAUGUCCAGUGGCGUAAGGGUGCGUAACACGUGGGCAAUCUGCCGAGAAGUGGGGGAUAGCUCGCCGAAAGGCGAAUUAAUACCGCAUGUGGUUAGUGAAGACCUCUUCACGACACCAAAGCCGGGGACCAUAGCAAUAUGGCCUGGCGCUUCUUGAUGAGCCCGCGGCCUAUCAGCUUGUU
RNAcentral lists this ribosomal RNA (267 nucleotides) under uncultured bacterium. RNAcentral's name for it is "partial 16S ribosomal RNA". It matches the Rfam family "Bacterial small subunit ribosomal RNA", at positions 9 to 250 of the family's 1533-position model. The record is from RNAcentral.